Molecule: ribosomal RNA, 429 nt
Filed under: Chloroflexota bacterium
Lineage: Bacteria; Bacillati; Chloroflexota
Description: Chloroflexi bacterium partial 16S ribosomal RNA
Rfam family: Bacterial small subunit ribosomal RNA
Source: RNAcentral
UAGGGAAUCUUCGGCAAUGGACGAAAGUCUGACCGAGCAACGCCGCGUGAGUGAAGAAGGUUUUCGGAUCGUAAAACUCUGUUGUUAGAGAAGAACAAGGACGUUAGUAACUGAACGUCCCCUGACGGUAUCUAACCAGAAAGCCACGGCUAACUACGUGCCAGCAGCCGCGGUAAUACGUAGGUGGCAAGCGUUGUCCGGAUUUAUUGGGCGUAAAGCGAGCGCAGGCGGUUUCUUAAGUCUGAUGUGAAAGCCCCCGGCUCAACCGGGGAGGGUCAUUGGAAACUGGGAGACUUGAGUGCAGAAGAGGGAAGUGGAAUUCCAUGUGUAGCGGUGAAAUGCGUAGAUAUAUGGGGGAACACCAGUGGCGAAGGCGGCUCUCUGGUCUGUAACUGACGCUGAGGCUCGAAAGCGUGGGGAGCAAACAGG